RNAcentral lists this ribosomal RNA (484 nucleotides) under uncultured bacterium. Its description in RNAcentral is "partial 16S ribosomal RNA". It matches the Rfam family "Bacterial small subunit ribosomal RNA", at positions 30 to 507 of the family's 1533-position model. The record is from RNAcentral.
AUUGAACGCUGGCGGCAUGCUUAAUACAUGCAAGUCGAACGACAGGGUGAGCUUCUUGCUGGUGUCGCGUGGCGAACGGGCGGGUGAUUCACCCGUAGGUGCCCUACAUUUGAGGAUGGGCUGGCUACAGCAAGACUAAUAUCACAUCGGACCAGAUAUUGAACCGGAGGGACCGAUAGUCAUCGACGUAUUUGAUGUGCCGUUGUCGGAUUUGCUAGUUGGUAGGGUAAAGGCUUACCAAGGCGACGAUCCGUAGCUGAGCUGAGAGGACGACCAGCCACACUGGGACUGAGACACGGCCCAGACUCCUACGGGAGGCAGCAGUGGGGAAUCUUCGACAAUGGGGGCAAGCCUGAUCCAGCCAUGCCGCGUGCGGGAAGAAGGCCUUCGGGUUGUAAAACGCUUUUGUUAGGGAAGAAAUACUGUGGACUAAUAUCCCGGGGGGAUGACGGUACCGGAUCAAUAAGCACCGGCUAACUACGUG